Molecule: transfer RNA, 73 nt
Filed under: Armatimonadota bacterium
Lineage: Bacteria; Bacillati; Armatimonadota
Also listed under: 1 other name
Description: Armatimonadetes bacterium (hot springs metagenome) tRNA-Lys
Rfam family: tRNA
About the family: Transfer RNA (tRNA) molecules are approximately 80 nucleotides in length. Their secondary structure includes four short double-helical elements and three loops (D, anti-codon, and T loops). Further hydrogen bonds mediate the characteristic L-shaped molecular structure. tRNAs have two regions of fundamental functional importance: the anti-codon, which is responsible for specific mRNA codon recognition, and the 3' end, to which the tRNAs corresponding amino acid is attached (by aminoacyl-tRNA synthetases). tRNAs cope with the degeneracy of the genetic code in two manners: having more than one tRNA (with a specific anti-codon) for a particular amino acid; and 'wobble' base-pairing, i.e. permitting non-standard base-pairing at the 3rd anti-codon position.
Source: RNAcentral
GCGCCGGUAGCUCAGUCGGCAGAGCACCGGACUUUUAAUCCGGGGGGCGCAGGUUCGAUUCCUGCCCGGCGCA